GGCGCGAAAACUUUACAAUGCCGGCAACGGCGAUAAGGGGACCUCGAGUGCCAGGUUACAAAUCUGGCUGUCGUGAUGCCUAAAAAGCAUUGCAUAGCAAGGGCCGGGCAAGACCGGUGCCAGCCGCCGCGGUAACACCGGCGGCUCGAGUGGUAACCGUUAUUAUUGGGUCUAAAGGGUCUGUAGCCGGCCGGAUAAGUCUCUUGGGAAAUCCAGCAGCUCAACUGUUGGGCUUUCAGGAGAUACUGUCUGGCUCGAGGCCGGGAGAGGUGAGAGGUACUUCAGGGGUAGGGGUGAAAUCUUGUAAUCCUUGAAGGACCACCAGUGGCGAAGGCGUCUCACCAGAACGGACCUGACGGCAAGGGACGAAAGCUAGGGGCACGAACCGGAUUAGAUACCCGGGUAGUCCUAGCCGUAAACGAUACUCGCUAGGUGUCGGCCACGGUGCGACCGUUGUCGGUGCCGUAGGGAAGCCGUGAAGCGAGCCACCUGGGAAGUACGGCCGCAAGGCUGAAACUUAAAGGAAUUGGCGGGGGAGCAC
Molecule: ribosomal RNA, 541 nt
Filed under: uncultured archaeon
Lineage: Archaea
Description: bacterial SSU rRNA
Rfam family: Archaeal small subunit ribosomal RNA
Source: RNAcentral